AGUGAACGCUGGCGGUAGGCCUAACACAUGCAAGUCGAACGGCAGCACAGGAGAGCUUGCUCUCUGGGUGGCGAGUGGCGGACGGGUGAGGAAUACAUCGGAAUCUACUUUUUCGUGGGGAUAACGUAGGGAAACUUACGCUAAUACCGCAUACGACCUACGGGUGAAAGCAGGGGACCUUCGGGCCUUGCGCGGAUGAAUGAGCCGAUGUCGGAUUAGGUAGUUGGCGGGGUAAAGGCCCACCAAGGCGACGAUCCGUAGCUGGUCUGAGAGGAUGAUCAGCCACACUGUGACUGAGACACGGUCCAGACUCCUACGGGAGGCAGCAGUGGGGAAUAUUGGGCAAUGGGCGCAAGCCUGAUCCAGCCAUACCGCGUGGGUGAAGAAGGCCUUCGGGUUGUAAAGCCCUUUUGUUGGGAAAGAAAUCCAGCUGGCUAAUACCCGGUUGGGAUGACGGUACCCAAAGAAUAAGCACCGGCUAACUUCGUGCCAGCAGCAGCCGCGG
RNAcentral lists this ribosomal RNA (505 nucleotides) under uncultured bacterium. RNAcentral's name for it is "partial 16S ribosomal RNA". It matches the Rfam family "Bacterial small subunit ribosomal RNA", at positions 29 to 523 of the family's 1533-position model. The record is from RNAcentral.